Molecule: ribosomal RNA, 301 nt
Filed under: uncultured bacterium
Lineage: Bacteria
Description: partial 16S ribosomal RNA
Rfam family: Bacterial small subunit ribosomal RNA
Source: RNAcentral
CAGUAGCCGCGGGAAUACAGAGGGUGCGAGCGUUAAUCGGAUUUACUGGGCGUAAAGCGUGCGUAGGCAGCUUCUUAAGUCGGAUGUGAAAUCCCUGAGCUUAACUUAGGAAUUGCAUUCGAUACUGGGAAGCUAGAGUAUGGGAGAGGAUGGUAGAAUUCCAGGUGUAGCGGUGAAAUGCGUAGAGAUCUGGAGGAAUACCGAUGGCGAAGGCAGCCAUCUGGCCUAAUACUGACGCUGAGGUACGAAAGCAUGGGGAGCAAACAGGAUUAGAUACCCCCGUAGUCCCUGUCUCUUAUAC